Long non-coding RNA from Hibiscus syriacus, 159 nucleotides. RefSeq lists it as uncharacterized. The record is from RefSeq and is a predicted model, not a curated record. Lineage: Eukaryota; Viridiplantae; Streptophyta; Magnoliopsida; Malvales; Malvaceae. The transcript is spliced from 3 exons.
AUAGUGAAAGAACUUAACAUUUUGGCAAGGGCAUCAGAGAGUUGCUGGUAACUUUUGUACAUCCUCAAGUCCACUUUCCGGAGGAAAGUUGCACCGUCCAGGCUCACCUUAACAAAGGCGGCCUUCUCACCACCACGGCUGCCGUUCUUGACACUGUCG